GCCCGAGUGGGGUAGCUUGGACAUCCUAGAAGCCUGCGGAGCUUCGGACCUGGGUUCGAAUCCCAGCUCGGGCG
RNAcentral lists this transfer RNA (74 nucleotides) under Thermoplasmata archaeon. RNAcentral's name for it is "tRNA-Arg". It matches the Rfam family "tRNA". From Rfam's summary of the family: Transfer RNA (tRNA) molecules are approximately 80 nucleotides in length. RNAcentral also lists the same sequence under 3 other names. Lineage: Archaea; Methanobacteriati; Thermoplasmatota; Thermoplasmata. The record is from RNAcentral.